GUCCCUCCCCACGAGACAAGUAAAGAUGUCGAUCCUCUGCUGAUGAGCUCAAACCACGCCAGGGAGAAGGAUCAGAAACUUGGAAGUAUCACAGUAGGUGUCCAAUUAAUCUUUUGGACAAGGUCAGCAGAAAAGGAAUUUCAGGCGGAGAUGGGCUGAACCGUGAGGAUCUUUCCAGGUCUGCAGCUGAGCGAUGUGAGCACGGCAAACGCCACCCCUGAGUUGUGCAAACAGCACAACAGCACAACUUUCCAGAAGAAUGCAUAACAUCAAGUUUUAAAUAACGAGCUCAGCUCCUGAAACAGGUACUGGAAAAAAAAUGCAGUAGAAUCAGACAACCAUUUGGGCAGAAAAUUAGCUGGAAACAGAAAUAAAGAGCAAACAAAGUGUGUUACUGGAAGGGCCUGCGUGGUCCGGAGGGCAGCUCGCAAAGGCCCCUUGCCCGACGCUGUGCAGAGCACCUGCAGCCACCUCCCCACCCUCGCACGCCCCAGCACACCCCAAAAAACUCCACGACCUCGCAAUGAAUCAGCCUCUCUGUGCAGCUUGGGAGGCUGUCACUAUCAUUUCAGCAUGUCUCACUCACAGUAUUAUUACUAGUCAUAAUAUCAUCCAGCUGUGAGCUGUUAAAAAAAAAAAAAAAAGACAGCUAUAAUAUUUAACUCUAUGGACAUUUUGCUGUAACAAGACUUUACCAGAUGUUCUGCCCCUUGAUUAUGCAUGCCACAAAAGCAUGUUUUAUAAUCACAUAAAACAAAGCAAGAUGAAAGCCAUGGAAAUGCCUGUGUGUUCUUUUCCCAAUGCAGCUGCUUUCGAGAUGGUUUUUGCAUCUGUCAAGCAUAAAUCAAAAGAGAAAAAUGAUCCUCAAAACUAGCCCAUUUCUUGAUAGAGGCAGUGUUUUCUGUCACAAACAUUAGUCGACGUCAAGAAUUAUUCUUCAUUAUAUACUUCCACUUCCCACACUCACGGGGAGGUUAAGUUAAAUGUUAUUAAAGCAUUUCCAGUCCUGGAAUGGGAAGCGCUGAGAAUUUCAGACUGAACUGCAUUUAUUGAUUAGCGUUAUGAAAAAUAAAUGAUGGGUACUGCUUGUGGGGGACAUAUGUUAGCCAUAAUUCCUAAUUUCCACUCCUAACAGAGCCAAAACACACGUGAGUGUCUGCGGCCAAACCUCUGGCCUGGAUGUAAGGUGCUUCCAUGCUUUUGGGGGACAGGCCAAUUAAUAGCUGGAAUGCUCAGAUAAGAUUUGAGUAAAAAUGAAUAUUAUUGUUUAAACUUUUCAUGUGACAUUGCUGAGGCUCUGGCAAGCAGGGUAUCAGCUAAAUGACAAACAUGCUGAAGUAAUAAAAAGUGUUACUGCAUAAGCACAAAAUGCGGCGAUACCAGAACGAGCACCCAAUUUUUUCUGACCUUUCCUAAGCAAAUUGCUACUGCAGGCAAGUCUUCGGCUGUAUGUUACCUAUAUCCUGUAUGAAUGAAUUCCUUUUUUGUGUGAUUGUUCAAAGCCAGUAUGUCCGUUUCUGUAGAAGCACCCACAGGAUCACUGAAAACCACAUAUUCAGCUCUUGUUAAUGUCACCAAUGACGUACCAGAGCAAGUACUUGUUUGUCCUGAAGAAAUACAGGACUUCCACCGCUCGAGCGUGAGCCCUGCCGAGCGCCUGUUCAGAAAAAAAAAAAAAAAAAAGUUGUUGACAUUAGAGGAAAAACCAGGUUUCCUGUUUGAACUCUGACAGGUACUGGAAGAUAUGAGUAACAUCAAAUCUUGGUCUGCUCUAAAGGCAGUCUGUGGUCAGGGGGUUCUCACAUUUGUUUGUGUGGAACAGCUUUGAAUUGUUUGCAGAUACCGCGCAGAAGAAACUCGGAGAUGCUUAUCGUCGCGCAGGGCCUGUUAUGAAAUACAUGCAUUUGUGAACAGGUUAGAGGAGAUCAAAACGGCUCCAGAUGAUAUGCCUCACAUGCUGUAAAAUGUGGUAGAUGCUCCCGAGAUACCUCCAAAAAUAUCACAUGUCGCAGCGUUGUCGAGUACAGGCAGCAGCCACCUUUAUUUCCAUUUCACGCUGCAUGGCAGGCGAAAGGAGUUUGGGGGAUUUUUUUCCAGAUCAUUCUUCUUUUGUGCGUGCGUGCCUGUCUGACUGUUCAAAUUAAAACUUUCCCUCGUUACGAUUUUCACUAACAGAGCUACCCAAACAUCUAUUGCAAAAGAAACAAGAUGCUGGAGAAAAUGCUUAAACCAUCCCAGCUUUGCUCCAGCUGCCCCGUGCUGGUGCCACCGCCGGGCAGACAGGGGACGAUGCUGGCACAGCAGCAUCAGCUCUGAGCUGCUGCCCUAAGAGCCAGCAGGGAGCCCGUGUUUCAGCCCGUUUGGCAGCAAAAGGGAGAGAUGCAGUGGGAGCACUGCAGGCAGAGCCCAGGAGCUGAGAGCAGGAGCAGCCCUGAUGCUCAGCCCAGCUUUGAGGUGUGCCAGCGAGAAGCACGUGGUUUGUAGCAGGCUCUCCAAAGUGCUCUGCCAAAAGUUAUCAGUUAUCAGCUAUAACUGAUAACUUUAUAACUUAUAAAAGUAUCUCAGUUAUCAGCCCAAAGUGCCUCUGAACCCCUCUGUCCUUCACAACUGCUUCUGCCAGGCUUGAGGACCGACCCCUCAGCAUCUCUGUGCUGCUAACAGUGGAUGAAGCCUCGCCAGGGGACUCAGCAGCUCACGCAGAGCUCAGCAGCUCGCCCUCCAGCCCUUGGAGAAGGGAAGGAAAAGCCCAGAGGGCACUGCUUGGUCCCUUCCCUGUGAUGAGCAGAUCCCAAACUCCUGCAUCUGCUCUCACGCUUACGAUGCCAUCUCCUCUUGGCCACCCCUAACGCUGUAUUACGGUACCUUUGUAUACAUGAAGCUAACCCUCUAUUUUCUUUACUCUUAAUGCAAACCAUCUUUUUUGAAAACUACUAAGAAAAGACCUCCCAGAGCUCUGCUAAAUCAAAAUCAUAUCUGGGGAUAUAGCUGGUUCAUAGCUUCACAUUGCAACUUCGUAAGUGAGUAACUUAGAGCUGCUGUGAGUUGCUAACAGGAGGCAAAACUCUCCUCCAAACCACGGACCCCUUGGCCAUGCCAUCACCUCUCACAGCCCAAACUGAGUCCACACAAAGCACUUUCCCCAUACCAGAGGCAGCUCUGUACAUUCAUGCGAUGGAGACGUGAUCCUCCAGGAGGAAUGCUCUCCUUGGAGGACAUCAGCAGCUUUACCCAUUCCCAUGAAACCACCAGGCCAAGGCAGCACCAGAUGAGCUGAACGUCUCUCCUGGGCUGUGUCCUGCUAAGUGAUCCCCAGCUGGUGGGGGAAAGUGCUCUGCACCACCCAGCACUGUGCCUUCAAAGCCAUCGGUGUUAGAGCUACCUCAAACCCUCAGCUGAUGAGACAGUGCCAGAGAGCUUCUUUUAAAUACCUGUGGUCCCCCAGAGCUAAACAUUUCCCAUCCUUACAGGCAGCAGACAAAAAGGCAGGGAUGGUUUGAGCUAGAGACUCAGCAGAGGCAGUGCUGUACAAGCCUCUUACCGGCUGAUUCUGCCUAUUCUCCUGGAUUUUGUUUAAGAUUUAUUUUUCCAGCUGAUGUGUGCAAGCCUCUUCCACUAGAGCGAGUGCUUACAGAAAGCAAAUGUUCAUCUUGCAUGUUGCAGUGGAAGCAGGGGAAGCAAAUUAAAAAUUAAAACAAUUCAAUCAAGGAAAAGAACAAUUCCCCACAACAGGGCUAGCCAGUUGCAGCUAAGUAAUUGGGCUCUCAGAUCUGGGCCACUCAUAAAUUAACUUAGCUUGAAAAAGAUUUUCUUGAACUACUUUAGUAACUGAAAAGUUUGAAGUGAAAAAAAAAAAACAAACGCUGCAAGUUCCUUAGACACCUGAUGCUCAACCCCUCAAAGAGCACCUGGUUAGAGAAAGAAAAUCAGCAAAUAAUUAUCCCCUUAAACCCCUUGGGUGUUGUGUUUGUCUUCAUUCCUGAGCUGGAAAUACUUAAGAUAAAUUCACAGUUUUCUAUAUUAAUUUUUGUAAACUUAGUGAAAAUUUAUUUACGCCUCAAAACAACAAAUUUUGCCAGCUGGGUUUAAAUUGCCUGUUCUGGUGAAGCUGGCACAAAAAUGCAACAUGAGCAACAUGUUCCCAGCGUUCUGAUUUGAAAUUCCCCUCAAAUCUCUGGGACCUAAGUGUGUGGUUAACUUAAUGCCUGUGCUUAGGAUUUUCCUGAAGCAGGGCUCUAAUUGCAAAAGAAAGCAGGAGGGAUCCUCCUUUCACUGAAACCCUCUCAUUUUUCUGAGGAUAUCAGAAUUAAGUCAUUAAACAUUAAACUUUUUUUGUAGUAAUUCAUACAAAUGUCAUUAGAAAUGGACUUGCAUAAUUAAAAACUGCAUAAGAUGAAAGCUAACAGUAUCAACAGUAAGAAAACCAAGUAGAUUCAUAACUGGAAAUAAUAUGGAAUUAGUUCAGUAUCGCAUGACGGUAGGGAAAAAAAUAAAAAAGGGAAUGCUGGUUGUUCAAAUACAGCAUCAUAAAUUUACAAGUGUGAAGGGUUUCCUUUAACUGAAUACUAAUUUGUGGACAACUUUUGAAUAACUUUCAAAGUGAAACUGUUUAAAGCAACACAUUACAGGUCUUUGUUCCUUUGAGACUUCAAGUACUGAUGUGAGCUAUUACAUUCCAAGUGCUCCCCAUUGAUUCAGCCUUGCUUUAGCAAAUAAUAAGGCCAGGUGUGUUUACACUCUUUGUAGGUUUUGAGUAUUAAUGGACAAUUGGGAAGAGAGUCAAAUUUAAACAAGAGAUAAGAAAACCAGAUUAAUUCAAUUAUUAAAUAUGAUUUGUGCUCAUUAUAUUCAUUAAGUAUGAUUUCAUUAAGGAAUUUUCCCUUUUUAUUUAACUCUCCACACUUAAGUGCUGUUACCAAAUGUUUUGAUUCUUAUUUGAAUAAAAAAAUUACAAGGAAUAAUCCUCUUAAACUUAUUUAAAUUUUUCUUUUCAACUUUCCUUUUAGCUUCUUUUAUACGUUGGAUUUUGAGACAGUUAAUAAGAUGCAAUGGGGCUCUGUGCUCUGAGCAAAAUCUUCUUUUAUUAUAGCCAGACUUUCCAGGUAACAAACACGCGAUCCAGCUCUGCUGGCUAAAUCCCACCAAACAGCUCUCAAAUUCCAGCCAUCGGCUGCCACACACCUUACGUGACUCCAGACGAGUGAAGCUUUUUAGCUUUUUCAGAAUAUUACCCGAUUUCAUCUCAUCAAAAAGGACAAGCAGAGGCCAAGAAUCAAAAUAAAGUGUUGGCUUAUUAGGAAA
This is a non-coding RNA of Anas platyrhynchos (mallard), 5298 nucleotides long. NCBI's taxonomy places the organism in Eukaryota, Metazoa, Chordata, Aves, Anseriformes, Anatidae. The record is from RefSeq and is a predicted model, not a curated record.